RNAcentral lists this long non-coding RNA (941 nucleotides) under Pongo abelii (Sumatran orangutan). RNAcentral describes it as "lincRNA". The record is from RNAcentral. Lineage: Eukaryota; Metazoa; Chordata; Mammalia; Primates; Hominidae.
AUGGGGAUACCAGGCCAGCUGGGGAUUCUUCCCAGGCUGGGCUCACAGGCUAGGGCUGGGCACACGGAGCAGCUGCGGGAAAGGGAUCUGGACACCAGCCCCCCAGCGUGUCACCUGCAGGAAGCUGAGGUGGGAACAGAGUGACGUCCAGGCAUGUUCAGGACUAAGCCAGUGGAUCACAAACAUCCUGGAGAGCAGUGACUCUGUGAUUCCAUCAACAAGAAUAUGAAGGACUGAGAAGUUCCCCAGCUCUGCCCAUUGCACCUUCCCAUUGAGAAGCAGCAUGGCACCCUGGUGGCAGGGGCUGGCACUCAGCUGGGCCAGGGUGCUCUCCUGUUAACCAUAACCAAGCUCACAGGACAUGGGAUGAGCCCACUGUGUGACACAAGGAACGGAGCACAGUCUGUUAAGUCUUGCACAGCCACGCUCUGCCACGGAGGCAGGCCUUUCUUUGGCCUCCCUCUCCCUGCUCGUGCUCACGUGAACAUCCACCUACGUGGAUAGACUGUUUGGGCUUUGGUUCAUUAUUGCUUUGUGAAUUCCUUGAACUUCUGCAUCUGCCCAACCUCCCCCACCCCAUUGUUUUCAUUGUGUUUCACCAAAUGGAAAUUCUAGAGUAACCAUGUAAGUCCUCUCCCAAACUCGUUCACUGUUGAGAGUGCUAAAAUGCUAACCCCAGAGGCUAACUGAGGGUUAGGGUUACUUUAUCUUUAGAGCAUUGUGAAUUGUAUGUUAAGUGGAAUUUAAUGAAAAAAUAGUUAAUUGACCAACAUGAAUAUCCCCUGAACAGAAUCUCCCCUGAACAGAAUCCUACAAUGAAACUAAGGGAGAUAAAUAAAGCUGUUUACCUGAAAGCUCUCUCUAAUCAAGAUCCUUUGAAAUUUAUAAAACAUGGUCAAUAUUUGCACUGGACUUUGUAAAAAUAAAGCUUGAUGAGAGAA